This is a non-coding RNA of Caretta caretta (loggerhead turtle), 4410 nucleotides long. The record is from RefSeq and is a predicted model, not a curated record. NCBI's taxonomy places the organism in Eukaryota, Metazoa, Chordata, Testudines, Cheloniidae.
GGGGGUGUCGGCCGCAGCCCCGCCGCCGCUUGCCCAGGGCCGCGGAGCGCGAUGGCUGUGGCGGCGAGGAGCCUGGCGAUGGCCGGGCGGGCCUGGACGCUGCGGCGCUGGUACCGCACGGAGCGGGGGGUGUACGGCUACAAGCCCCGCAAGGCGGAGAGCGGGGGCGCCCCGGAGCCAAGCCGGGUCUUCGUGGGCGGCAGAGCAGCUGAUCAUGGCCUUGCUCGUUUAGUAACUGCAUACUGUGAACAUGGCCACAAAGCUGCCAAAAUUAACCCUUUGUUUGCUGGCCAAGCUGUGAUGGACAUGGUACCUGAAAUUCGAGUGCUGACAGAAGUGCUUCAGGGACCUUUCAAUACCACAGGGCUCCUGAACAUGGGAAAAGAAGAGGCUUCCUUAGAGGAUGUGUUGACUUAUCUUGACCAUGUAUAUUGUGGACAUAUUUCUAUAGAAAUGAGUCAGCUGUCAAGCUUGGAGGAGAGAGAAUGGUUUGCUAAAAGGUUUGAACAAUUAAAACAGGAGGCAUUUACAACAGAAGAGAGAAAGCAUUUGUCUAAAGUGAUGCUAGAAUCUCAGGAGUUUGACCGCUUCUUGGCCACCAAGUUUGCCACAGUGAAACGUUACAGUGGUGAAGGAGCAGAGAGCAUGAUGGGUUUUUUCUAUGAAUUGUUAAAGAUGUGCGUGUACAGUGGGGUGACAGACAUCAUUCUUGGAAUGCCUCAUCGAGGAAGGCUUAAUCUCCUCACUGGGCUGCUUCAGUUUCCACCUGAGUUGAUGUUCCGUAAAAUGCGUGGCUUAAGUGAGUUUCCAGAGAAUUCGCCAGCAAUUGGGGAUGUCCUGUCCCACCUGACAUCCUCUGUAGAUCUAGACUUUGGUUCACACCGCCCUCUGCAUGUCACCAUGUUGCCUAAUCCAUCACAUCUAGAAGCAAUUAAUCCAGUGGCGGUUGGCAAGACACGCGGAAGGCAACAGUCUCUUCUUGAUGGAGAUUACUCGCUAGAUAGUGCCGCACAACCUGGAGACAAAGUUAUCUGCCUGCAGGUUCAUGGUGAUGCUGCUUUCUCUGGUCAAGGGAUUGUUCCUGAAACGUUGACACUCUCUAAUCUCCCACAUUUCAGAGUUGGUGGAAGCAUCCAUUUGAUUGUUAAUAAUCAGCUGGGUUACACCACUCCUCCAGAGCGAGGAAGAUCGUCGCUAUACUGUAGUGAUAUUGGUAAGAUAAUUGGGUGUGCAGUUAUCCAUGUGAAUGGUGAUGAUGCUGAAGAAGUCAUCCGAGCGACGCGAUUAGCUGUUGAAUACCAGCGUCACUUCCGCAGGGAUGUGAUUGUAGACUUGCUGUGCUACAGACAGUGGGGCCACAAUGAACUCGAUGAGCCAUUCUUCACCAACCCCAGCAUGUAUAAAAUCAUCAGAUCCCGUAAGAGUGUCCCAGACAUGUAUGCAGAGUGUCUAAUAGCCAGUGGGCUCAUGACUGAGGAUGAGGUAUUGGAGAUAAAGACUUCAUAUUACUCCAAGCUGAAUGAUCAUCUAGCCAACAUGAUGAUGUAUAGCCCCCCUUCAACCAACCUGCAAGCUCACUGGAGUGGCAUGGUGGAACCCUCUGCUAGGAUCACCAUUUGGGAUACAGGCCUGCCUGUGCCACUCCUGCAAUUCAUUGGCAUCAAGUCCGUGGAGGUGCCUGAAGAGCUCCAGAUGCACAGUCAUCUUCUGAGGACGCAUGUACAGGCAAGAAUACAGAAAGUGAAGGAAGGAACGAAGUUGGACUGGGCUACAGCUGAAACAUUAGCUUUUGGUUCACUACUCAGCCAAGGGUUUAAUAUCCGACUAAGUGGCCAGGAUGUUGGCAGAGGAACAUUCAGCCAACGACACGCAAUGUUGGUUUGCCAAGAGACAGAUGAAACCUAUAUCCCGCUGAAUCAUUUGUCUCCGGAUCAGAAAGGCUUCCUAGAGGUGAGCAAUAGCCCACUGUCUGAAGAAGCUGUGCUUGGUUUUGAGUAUGGAAUGAGUAUUGAAAGCCCCAAGUUACUGCCAAUUUGGGAGGCCCAGUUUGGUGACUUCUUUAAUGGAGCCCAGAUAAUAUUUGACACUUUCAUCUCUGGAGGUGAAGCUAAGUGGCUUCUGCAGAGCGGGAUAGUCAUUCUUCUUCCCCAUGGCUAUGAUGGUGCAGGCCCUGAACACUCUUCCUGCCGAAUGGAACGUUUCUUACAGAUGUGUGACAGUGCAGAAGAGGGAGUUGAUGGUGACAACGUGAACAUGUCAGUUGUGCAUCCAACCACCCCAGCACAGUAUUUCCAUUUGCUCCGUAGGCAGAUGAUCCGAAACUUCCGGAAACCUUUAAUUGUUGCUUCUCCCAAAAUGCUACUCAGAUUUCCAGGGGCGGUGUCAGAUUUUCAAGAAAUGGCCCCAGGGACAACAUUCAAGCCUGUAAUUGGUGAUUUGUCAGUGGAUCCUAACAGCAUCAGCCGAGUGGUGCUGUGUUCUGGCAAGCAUUACUAUGCUUUGGUGAAACAGAGAGAGGCACUAGCAGAGAAGAAGCACAGCACUGCUAUUGUCAGGCUAGAAGAACUGUGUCCUUUCCCCCUGGAAGCUCUACAGCAAGAGAUGAACAAAUACAGAAAUGCCAAAGAUUUUAUUUGGAGUCAGGAGGAGCCACAGAACAUGGGUCCCUGGGCCUUUGUGUCACCAAGGUUUGAGAAGCAGUUGGCAUGUAAGUACCCAUUCUCUUAAAAGUGAGCUCUGGGAACAUGGAGAGAGAUCUUCAAUCACCAACAUCUUAUGUACUAAGUAUAAAGUGCACACAGACAUAAGAGAUGUUGGACUAGAUCGUAAUCCCCAAAUCUGCACAUGGCUCUCACCCUUUUCAUGUGGAUAGUGGGGUGGUCUUCCACUGUACGCUUGCCACCCAUGCCUUUGGAAGGUACUCUGUAGGGCUAAGCCCUGGUCUACACUAGGACUUUAGGUCGAAUUUAGCAGCGUAAAAUCGAUUUAAACCUGCACCCGUCCACACAAUGAAGCCCUUUAUUUCGACUUAAAGGGCUCUUAAAAUCGAUUUCCUUACUCCACCCCUGACAAGUGGAUUAGCGCUUAAAUCGAUGUUGCCGGCUCGAAUUUGGGGUACUGUGGACACAAUUCGAUGGUAUUGGCCUCCGGGAGCUAUCCCAGGGUGCUCCAUUCUGACCGCUCUGGACAGCACUCUCAACUCAGAUGCACUGGCCAGGUAGACAGGAAAAGAACCGCGAACUUUUGAAUCUCAUUUCCUGUUUGGCCGGCGUGGCAAGCUGCAGGUGACCAUGCAGAGCUCAUCAGCACAGGUGACCAUGAUGGAGUCCCAGAAUCGCAAAAGAGCUCCAGCAUGGACCGAACGGGAGGUACGGGAUCUGAUCGCUGUUUGGGGAGAGGAAUCCGUGCUAUCAGAACUCCGUUCCAGUUUUUGAAAUGCCAAAACCUUUCUGAAAAUCUCCCAGGGCAUGAAGGACAGAGGCCAUAACAGGGACCCGAAGCAGUGCCGCGUGAAACUGAAGGAGCUGAGGCAAGCCUACCAGAAAACCAGAGAGGCGAACAGCCGCUCUGGGUCAGAGCCCCAAACAUGCCGCUUCUAUGAUGAGCUGCAUGCCAUUUUAGGGGGUUCAGCCACCACUACCCCAGCCGUGUUGUUUGACUCCUUCAAUGGAGAUGGAGGCAAUACGGAAGUAGGUUUUGGGGACGAAGAAGAUGAGGAGGAGGAGGAGGUUGUAGAUAGCUCACAGCAAGCAAGCGGAGAAACCGGUUUUCCCGACAGCCAGGAACUGUUUCUCACCGUAGACCUGGAGCCAGUACCCCCCGAACCCACCCAAGGCUGCCUCCUGGACUCAGCAGGCGGAGAAGGGACCUCUGCUGCAUGUGUUUCAAUGAUCACAGGAUCUUCUCCUUCCCAGAGGCUAGUGAAGCUUAGAAAGAAAAAAAAACGCACUCGCGAUGAAAUGUUCUCCGAGCUCAUGCUGUCCUCCCACACUGACAGAGCACAGACGAAUGCGUGGAGGCAAAUAAUGUCAGAGUGCAGGAAAGCACAAAAUGACUGGGAGGAGAGGUGGAGGGCUGAAGAGAGUAAGUGGCAGGCUGAAGACAGGGCUGAAGCUCAAAGGUGGCGGCAGCGUGAUGAGAGGAGGCAGGAUUCAAUGCUGAGGCUGCUGCAGGACCAAACCAGUAUGCUCCAGUGUAUGGUUGAGCUGCAGCAAAGGCAGCUGGAGCACAGACUGCCACUGCAGCCCCUCUGUAACCAACCGCCCUCCUCCCCAAGUUCCAUAGCCUCCACACCCAGACGCCCAAGAACGCGGUGGGGGGGGCCUCCGGCCAACCAGCCACUCCACCACAGAGGAUUGCCCCAAAAAAAGAAGGCUGUCAUUCAAUAAAUUUUAAAGUUGUAAACUUAAA